RNAcentral lists this ribosomal RNA (406 nucleotides) under uncultured bacterium. RNAcentral describes it as "bacterial SSU rRNA". It matches the Rfam family "Bacterial small subunit ribosomal RNA", at positions 28 to 435 of the family's 1533-position model. The record is from RNAcentral.
GACGAACGCUGGCGGCGUGCUUAACACAUGCAAGUCGAGCGGUAAGGCCCUUUCGGGGGUACGACGAGCGGCGAACGGGUGAGUAACACGUGGGUGACCUGCCCUCAGCUCUGGGAUAAGCCUGGGAAACCGGGUCUAAUACUGGAUAUGACUCCAUGACGCAUGUUGGUGGGGUGGAAAGCCUUGUGCGGCUGAGGAUGGGCCCGCGGCCUAUCAGCUUGUUGGUGGGGUGAGGCCUACCAAGGCGACGACGGGUAGCCGGCCUGAGAGGGCGACCGGCCACACUGGGACUGAGACACGGCCCAGACUCCUACGGGAGGCAGCAGGUGGGGAAUCUUGCGCAAUGGGCGAAAGCCUGACGCAGCGACGCCGCGUGAGGGAUGACGGCCUCGGUUGUAACGUACUU